This is a long non-coding RNA of Patiria miniata (bat star), 105 nucleotides long. RefSeq lists it as uncharacterized. The transcript is spliced from 2 exons. The record is from RefSeq and is a predicted model, not a curated record. Lineage: Eukaryota; Metazoa; Echinodermata; Asteroidea; Valvatida; Asterinidae.
GUUGAGGCCAGACAGACAGGGGGCAUAGGACUGCAUAUUUGCUCUCAGAGUUACUUCUACAGCGACGAUAGGUUCAACUACAACUAUGCGCAGGCCAAAGCCACA